AUUGAACGCUGGCGGCAUGCUUUACACAUGCAAGUCGAACGGCAGCGCGGGCUUCGGCCUGGCGGCGAGUGGCGAACGGGUGAGUAAUACAUCGGAACGUGCCCAGUAGUGGGGGAUAGCUCGGCGAAAGCCGGAUUAAUACCGCAUACGACCUGAGGGUGAAAGCGGGGGAUCUUCGGACCUCGCGCUAUUGGAGCGGCCGAUGGCAGAUUAGCUAGUUGGUGGGGUAAAGGCCUACUAAGGCGACGAUCUGUAGCUGGUCUGAGAGGACGACCAGCCACACUGGGACUGAGACACGGCCCAGACUCCUACGGGAGGCAGCAGUGGGGAAUUUUGGACAAAGGGCGAAAGCCUGAUCCAGCAAUGCCGCGUGUGUGAUGAAGGCCUUCGGGUUGUAAAGCACUUUUGGCGGGAACGAAAAGGAUUGUGCCAAUACCACGGUUCGAUGACGGUACCCGCAGAAUAAGCACCGGCUAACUACGUG
Molecule: ribosomal RNA, 484 nt
Filed under: uncultured bacterium
Lineage: Bacteria
Description: partial 16S ribosomal RNA
Rfam family: Bacterial small subunit ribosomal RNA
Source: RNAcentral